Molecule: ribosomal RNA, 397 nt
Filed under: uncultured bacterium
Lineage: Bacteria
Description: partial 16S ribosomal RNA
Rfam family: Bacterial small subunit ribosomal RNA
Source: RNAcentral
AUACGAAGGGUGCAAGCGUUACUCGGAAUUACUGGGCGUAAAGCGUGCGUAGGUGGUUGUUUAAGUCUGUCGUGAAAGCCCUGGGCUCAACCUGGGAAUGGCGAUGGAAACUGGGCGACUAGAGUGUGGCAGAGGGUAGUGGAAUUCCUGGUGUAGCAGUGAAAUGCGUAGAGAUCAGGAGGAACAUCCGUGGCGAAGGCGACUGCCUGGGCCAACACUGACACGGAGGCACGAAAGCGUGGGGAGCAAACAGGAUUAGAUACCCUGGUAGUCCACGCCCUAAACGAUGCGAACUGGAUGUUGGGUGCAAUUUGGCACGCAGUAUCGAAGCUAACGCGUUAAGUUCGCCGCCUGGGGAGUACGGUCGCAAGACUGAAACUCAAAUGAAUUGACGGGG